GAUGAACGCUGGCGGCGUGCCUAAUACAUGCAAGUCGAGCGAACAGAUAAGGAGCUUGCUCCUUUGACGUUAGCGGCGGACGGGUGAGUAACACGUGGGUAACCUACCUAUAAGACUGGAAUAACUCCGGGAAACCGGGGCUAAUGCCGGAUAACAUUUAGAACCGCAUGGUUCUAAAGUGAAAGAUGGUUUUGCUAUCACUUAUAGAUGGACCCGCGCCGUAUUAGCUAGUUGGUAAGGUAACGGCUUACCAAGGCAACGAUACGUAGCCGACCUGAGAGGGUGAUAGGCCACACUGGAGCUGCGCCACGGUCCAGACUCCUACGGGAGGCAGCAGUAGGGAAUCUUCCGCAAUGGGCGAAAGCAUGACGGAGAAACGCCGCGUGAGUGAUGAAGGUCUUCGGAUCGUAAAACUAUGUUAUUAGGGAAGACCAAAUGUGUAAGUAACUGUGAACGUCUUGACGGUACCUAAUCAGAAAGCCACGGCUAACUACGUG
RNAcentral lists this ribosomal RNA (497 nucleotides) under uncultured bacterium. RNAcentral describes it as "partial 16S ribosomal RNA". It matches the Rfam family "Bacterial small subunit ribosomal RNA", at positions 28 to 507 of the family's 1533-position model. The record is from RNAcentral.